GUCCCAGUAGUAUAAAUAUUACCAUGGUCUUGUAAACCAUAAAUGAAGAAUAACCACUUCCUAGGACA
Molecule: non-coding RNA, 68 nt
Organism: Dasypus novemcinctus (nine-banded armadillo)
Lineage: Eukaryota; Metazoa; Chordata; Mammalia; Cingulata; Dasypodidae
Source: Ensembl